Molecule: ribosomal RNA, 492 nt
Filed under: uncultured bacterium
Lineage: Bacteria
Description: partial 16S ribosomal RNA
Rfam family: Bacterial small subunit ribosomal RNA
Source: RNAcentral
AGUGAACGCUGGCGGUAGGCCUAACACAUGCAAGUCGAACGGCAGCACAGUAAGAGCUUGCUCUUACGGGUGGCGAGUGGCGGACGGGUGAGGAAUACAUCGGAAUCUACUUUUUCGUGGGGGAUAACGUAGGGAAACUUACGCUAAUACCGCAUACGACCUACGGGUGAAAGCAGGGGAUCUUCGGACCAUGCGCGAUUGAAUGAGCCGAUGUCGGAUUAGCUAGUUGGCUGGGUAAAGGCCCACCAAGGCGACGAUCCGUAGCUGGUCUGAGAGGAUGAUCAGCCACACUGGAACUGAGACACGGUCCAGACUCCUACGGGAGGCAGCAGUGGGGAAUAUUGGACAAUGGGCGCAAGCCUGAUCCAGCCAUACCGCGUGGGUGAAGAAGGCCUUCGGAUUGUAAAGCCCUUUUGUUGGGAAAGAAAAGCAGCAGGUUAAUACCCCGCUGUUCUGACGGUACCCAAAGAAUAAGCACCGGCUAACUUCGUG